GACGAACGCUGGCGGCGUGCUUAACACAUGCAAGUCGAACGGACAGACAGAGAGCUUGCUCUCUUGAAGUUAGUGGCGAACGGGUGGGUAACGCGUAAUCAACCUGCCCUUCAGAGGGGGAUAACAACGGGAAACCGUUGCUAAUACCGCGUACGAUUCAUGAACGGCAUCGUUUAUGAAUGAAAGGUGGCCUCUAUGUAUAAGCUAUCGCUGAAGGAGGGGAUUGCGUCUGAUUAGCUAGUUGGAGGGGUAACGGCCCGCCAAGGCAAUGAUCAGUAGCCGGUCUGAGUGGAUGAACGGCCUCAUUGGGACUGAGACACGGCCCAAACUCCUACGGGAGGCAGCAGUGGGGAAUCUUCCGCAAUGGACGAAAGUCUGACGGAGCAACGCCGCGUGAGUGAUGAAGGUCUUCGGAUUGUAAAGCUCUGUUAAUCGGGACGAAAGAGUUCUGCGUGAAUAAUGCAGAAAAGUGACGGUACCGGAAUAGAAAGCCACGGCUAACUACGUGCCAGCCGCCGCCGUAA
Molecule: ribosomal RNA, 524 nt
Filed under: uncultured bacterium
Lineage: Bacteria
Description: partial 16S ribosomal RNA
Rfam family: Bacterial small subunit ribosomal RNA
Source: RNAcentral